Molecule: long non-coding RNA, 3389 nt
Organism: Apis cerana (Asiatic honeybee)
Lineage: Eukaryota; Metazoa; Arthropoda; Insecta; Hymenoptera; Apidae
Source: RefSeq, a predicted model, not a curated record
CGGAAUUGUAGCAUGAAUUAUACAUUAUAGGUUUUUUCUCACAUUAUUAUUUGAUAAAUUUACAACAAAUAAUAAAGAUAUAAUAAAAUAAUUUAAUAAUAAAUCCAAAGAUAAUUAUAUGUUUCUGAUUUUUGAUUGAAAAAUUAAAUCUUAAUUUUCUGAAAUCGUACCAUGAAAAAAAAAUUAAAUAUUAAUUUAAACAAAUAACAAAAAUUUCAGAAGAAAACAAUAUAUAUAUAUUUUUUAUUUAUAAUAAUAAAUUAUUCUUAAUAAUCUAUGUAAAUAUUAUUAAUAAAUUAAUAUUAUGAGACAUUAUUUUUUUAAUAAUCUAAUUUUUAUUACUUAUUAAUUACCUUAUAUUCAAUUACAUAUAUGUAUAUACUAUAUAUUAUAUUAAAUUCUAAAUACAUCUACUGCAUAUAUAUUAUCUUGCAUAUUAGAAAAUUGGAAGUCCAAGAUCUAUAACUUCGUUUCCGAAAUGUAUAAAUGAAUGAGUAUAAAUAUUAAACUUUGUACCACCAAAAGAAACUGGACAAAGAUUAUUUGAUCUUGCAUAAAAGCAUAUCGUGUACAAAGCCAUUUCCAACUCAGGUAAAGUACCCACAAAUAUUGUUACAUUUGAUCUAACAAUCCCAUCUAUUUGAAAAUUUAAUUUUAGUAAUGAAGCACUCUGAAAAAAUAAAUAUAUUAGAUGAUUAAAAUAAUAUUAUUAUAAUGAGUAUAAUUCUUUAAUAUUUUUUAAAUAACUAAUAUAUUUUAAAUAACUUACAUUUCCAAAAUCUAAUUUAUCUACGUAACCCAUAUAAUCUAUACGUUUCAAAGAUUCUAGAUAUUCGAAAUAAAUCCAAUCUUGUACACCAAUAAUAGCUGUACCAUAAUUUUCAGAUGCAAAUACACGUUCAAAUCCGCAUGUACUUCCGCUGAAUAUAGUAAACCAAAUUCGACGAAGUACAUCUUUUCUUUCAAAAUCAUCUGGAUCAAUGAAUCCAUGAUCAGCUAACCAUUGCAUAGCUAUUGUCAUCUCAUUUGUAUUUAAAAAUGCAUCAAUCAAAAGAUUUUCUUGUUUUCUUGUUUCCAAAGUACGAUUCAAUUUCUUACGAAAAUCAUAUUCAUAACUAUUAUAUAGAGAUCGUGUUACAUAAAUUGAUGGAUAAUCUAACAAUUUUGAUUCUAUUUUAAAUAAUCUAGAAAAAAAAAAUUAAUAAAAAUUAAAAAUUAUUGAAAUCAGUUAAAAGUUAAAAAAAGUAAAUAAUUACAACAUACGAUUCUUUAGCUUCAUCUGUUACAUUAAGAGAUGUAACUUUAGUUUGUAAAUUCAAUUUUAUAAAUUUAUAUAUAUUGCGCGAACUUUUUGCAAAUAAUUCUUCUGAUAUUUUAAAAAGUUCAUCAUCCGAAAUUUUAUAAAAAAAUGUGUUAUUUAUGCUUAUAGAUUCAUUGUUAGAUAGAUUUUUUUGAUCACUUGACACAAUUGUAGAAGUAUUUAUAUUCUCAUUUAUAUGAGAUUCAAUAAUGGGUAUUCCGUUUCUAUGAACUAAAUGUGAACAAGAUAUAUUAAUAAGAAUAUUUAAUACAUAUGAAAUAUGAUUUUCUGAUAAAGAAACUUACCAUUGUCUAUAUUAGAAGUAAAUAUUCCAGUUGAAUUAUUAGGAAAUCCAGUUACUUGUAAUACAUUUGUGGAAUUCAUUUUCUCAUCAUUAACUCCAAGUGGAGUAUUAAAAUAUUGAUUGUUAUAAGUAAUAUGAGUUGUAGUUGUUGAAGUAGAAUCAGGUCUAUUUUCUACAUAAUCAUGAGUAGUAUGAGGAUUUAAUAUUCUAUUAACACCUGCAUUAAUAGUUGAAAAUACAAGAGCUUCCUUGAUCAUUUGACCAAAACCUCGACCAGAAUCUUGUUGCCCUGGUACCAUUAGAAUAGUUUGACCAGGUACAAAUGGUUGUACUGCAGGUUGUGCUAAUAUAUGUGUUGUUGGAUAAUGUGUUGAAUAAGAAGGUUGUCCAUGUGUAUUAUAAAUACCUUCAGAAGAAUGUACAGAAUAAGGAUUUCUUAAUGGCAUUGAAUUCGUUUGAUAAGGUAGAGAAGAAACUGAAUUUGGCCAUGUGUUACUUAAAGGCAUAUGAUGUGUAGGAUAAGGAGGAUAUUCUCUAUGUAUAGAUUGAGUAUUAGCCGAAGUUAUAUGACUCUGUGGAUAAACAUAAUCUUUGAAUCCAAUUGGAGGAGGUUGAGAAUUUGGUACAAUUCCUGGUUGAUUCGAUAUUGGUGGCUUAUUAAUUAUAUGUGUUUGAAUUGUACUUUGUCUAUUAUUUCCUAAAUAGGGAUUGCUCCAGGGAAAAUUUGUUUGAUGUGAUGUUAUCUGAUCUACAAUAUACAUAUUUUUAAUACAUAAUAAUACAAUAAUAACAAUAAUAUUAAAUAUAAUAUAUGUUUAUAUUAUUUAUACCAUAAUUUUGUGCUGUAGCAGAUUUCAUAAUAUGAUCUUGUUGUGGUGCAGAUGGAUAAAAAGAUGAGGUUUGUUUGUUUUCAUUUUUUUGUUUUUCUCCAUUUUGUAAAACUGAAAUAGGCUUUGUAGGAUAUAAUGGUUGAAAAGGCUUUGUUUGAACUAAUUAAAAAAAUUUCAUAUAAUUUACAUUUUAUAUUUAAUAUCAUAAAAAAAACAAACUAGUUAAAAAUACUUACUUAAUCGUGUUGCUCCUCCACUCUCAGCAUUUAAAAAUUGUGUAUUAAUAUUUUUAUUUGCUUGAGCUAUAAAUAGUUUUAAAAUUAACAAUAAAUAAACAAUAUUCAUAUUCAUAUAAUGUGUAUGUGAAUAAAUAUUUAAUAACAUAUUUAAAAUUAGCUAAAAAUAAUAGAUAUAUAGAUAAUAGAUAGUUUAUUAAAACAGGGAAGUUUUCUAUGAGAUGUAGAUAUAGAAAAUCUUUUUAAAAAUGAUUGAUACUUGCCAUAAUUAGGAUUUGCUCUAUUUGAUGUAUGAUAUAAAGAUCCAUAUGAUUUUCUAUUUCCAGAUUUUCCAUUUGAUUUUCUGUUUUUAACAAAACCUUUCCCAAUAUUAAAUUUUGUACUAAUAUUAUCUAAGAAAAGUAAAUAACAAAAUCAAUAAAAAUAUUAUAUAAUAAAAUAAUUUAGUACUUACUAAUUAAAAUAACACAAAUGAAUAUAAAGAAAAGUGUUUUUAUAAACUUCAUUAUUACUAUAAACACUGCAUAUAAUAUUAUAAUAAAUUGGUGUUUUCAAAGUAUUUUAGAAAUAAACGCAUAUAUUUCAUACAUCAAACUUUUUUUCAUACUAAAUGCAUUAUAUUUUGCAAUAUAUUUGAAUCAUAUUGUAAAGGGUCAUUGCCAAUGACCUGUAGGAUAGAUAUGGAUAUCUUUAGUAAUAAAGACAUUUUUUUAAUAAAU